CCAGAGAACUUAGCAGAGAUGCUUUGGUGCCUUCGGGAACUCUGAGACAGGUGCUGCAUGGCUGUCGUCAGCUCGUGUUGUGAAAUGUUGGGUUAAGUCCCGCAACGAGCCGCAACCCCUAUCCUUUGUUGCCAGCGAUUCGGUCGGGAACUCAAAGGAGACUGCCGGUGAUAAACCGGAGGAAGGUGGGGAUGACGUCAAGUCAUCAUGGCCCUUACGAGUAGGGCUACACACGUGCUACAAUGGCGCAUACAAAGAGAAGCGACCUCGCGAGAGCAAGCGGACCUCAUAAAGUGCGUCGUAGUCCGGAUUGGAGUCUGCAACUCGACUCCAUGAAGUCGGAAUCGCUAGUAAUCGUAGAUCAGAAUGCUACGGUGAAUACGUUCCCGGGCCUUGUACACACCGCCCGUCACACCAUGGGAGUGGGUUGCAAAAGAAGUAGAUAGCUUAACCUUCGGGAGGGCGUUUACCACUUUGUGAUUCAUGACUGGGGUGAAGUCGUAACAAGGUAAGCGUAGCGAG
RNAcentral lists this ribosomal RNA (522 nucleotides) under uncultured bacterium. RNAcentral describes it as "bacterial SSU rRNA". It matches the Rfam family "Bacterial small subunit ribosomal RNA", at positions 988 to 1509 of the family's 1533-position model. The record is from RNAcentral.